Molecule: signal recognition particle RNA, 234 nt
Filed under: Armatimonadota bacterium
Lineage: Bacteria; Bacillati; Armatimonadota
Description: Armatimonadetes bacterium (sediment metagenome) partial signal recognition particle sRNA large type
Rfam family: Bacterial large signal recognition particle RNA
About the family: The signal recognition particle (SRP) is a universally conserved ribonucleoprotein involved in the co-translational targeting of proteins to membranes. Archaeal SRP consists of a 7S RNA and homologues of the eukaryotic SRP19 and SRP54 proteins. In most bacteria, the SRP consists of a 4.5S RNA and the Ffh protein (a homologue of the eukaryotic SRP54 protein).
Source: RNAcentral
UACCCGCAAUCCGCUAUAGCGGGGGUGAACUCCUGCCCGCGGUGCCGUCUUGUGGGCAGUGCCUGCGUAAGUGGCGUUGAUGGUUGGGCGCUGCGCAACGGCUGACGUGCCAACCCCGCCAGGUCCGGAAGGAAGCAACGGUCAACACGAUCUCCGUGUGCCGCAGACCUACCCAGCCGGAGUCAACUGCGCAGGUCGACACCCGGAAGGCGCGCAUCAACGGCAGGUGCACGG